Molecule: long non-coding RNA, 1265 nt
Organism: Ornithorhynchus anatinus (platypus)
Lineage: Eukaryota; Metazoa; Chordata; Mammalia; Monotremata; Ornithorhynchidae
Exons: 4
Source: RefSeq, a predicted model, not a curated record
AAUCUUGGGAAGAAUAAGAUGAAAUUCCUUUAAGUGCUAUACAGUGCAAAGGGAACGGAACUGAAGUGUUCACCCAGAUGAUCCUCUUGAUGCAACUAGUGCCAACGGGCUAUACAAGGAAUGUGUACAUGAAAUGAACACAGUGGGUUGUUGGAAUAAGUGCUGUUGUUCCGUGGCUAUGCCCCAGGGGCGUGGAGAGACAAAACUUCAUCUCCUGUGAGACCCUGACCUCCCUUUCUAUUGACUUCCACUUCUGAGGUGACGAUGGGACCUACUCCACACUUUCAAGACUGGAGGAAAAUAGUAACACCAGUGACCUUUUGAAACCUUCAGCUUAGGAGGGGGGAAUCAACUUUUUAAAUGGUUGGGAAAAAAUGAUUUGCUGGGAUAUUUUUUCUUUGAGAAUGUCAGCUUCUUUUAUUGGUGCAGUUUGUAAGGGUGAUUUGGCUGAGGAAAUAACAUCUAAAAGGUUCCAUCAUAAAUAAGAUGGAUCUUGGAAGGGAAUUAUAAUCUCUUUUUAAAUGACUUUGAAAUAUUUAUUAAGCACCCACGUUUACACAACACUGGAGCCUGUAUGAAAAUUAAGCCAAAAUAUUAGGUUUGUAUUUGUCUAUUCUCUGUGGGAGGAAAAAAAAACUGCUCUUUUAUUCUCUCUUUGAAACUUGAAAUUGCUUUAGAUAUAGUUGCCUAGUGAUCUGACAUGUGUAAUUUUUAUUUCUGAGAGUGUUCCCAGCACUAAUUCUAUUAAUAACUCAAAAUGAUGAUGAUGGUGCUUUAAUCUUGUAUUUGAGUGCCUAGCCAACUAAUCCAGCUUUUGCUUAAACUAAUUCAGAAAUAUAUAUAAAUCAAUCUUCUGCUCAGCUCUGGGAAAGGAUAUUUUACAACUUUCUCUCACAUAAAGGCGUUACUAACAUCUAACCUAGGUAUUUCCUGCUGGUCUCUCAGAUGGUUUUCGUCUCUUUGGUCCUCCACAAAGUUGGACAAUAGCUCAUUACCAACAUCCAAAAACAAUCUCCAUGUAGACGAAACCUAAUAGAUUUCAAUUCAUGCAGCCUAAGGAGUCUUUCAACUUUUCCAAAUAUAAUCAGUUCUGCCAUAACAACUAUUUUAAUAAUGAGUUUUGACUAGAACAUUGUUAGGGAAUUAGGGGAACAUUCAUCUGACAACUUGAGCCUGUAAUAUACAACAUACCAUGGUGCCUCAAGAAACAGUCUGUGUAGUAAUAGAAUUUAUUAAGCACUUACUGAGAAGCAACAUAGCCUAAA